Long non-coding RNA from Ornithodoros turicata, 333 nucleotides. RefSeq lists it as uncharacterized. The transcript is spliced from 3 exons. The record is from RefSeq and is a predicted model, not a curated record. Lineage: Eukaryota; Metazoa; Arthropoda; Arachnida; Ixodida; Argasidae.
ACCCAUUUCCGCGGUGGACAGAAGCGCAAGGAAGAGAACCUCCUCCUAUUGAAGUGCCAUCAGCAUCAACUACGCCACACACAUGGGUGCAGCCAGUGCAGUACUUACCGCAGUCUGCCGACCCCUCGCCACCAGGGCUCGUACAAGACUCUCGUUGCCAAAGUUCCCAGCUCAUGUCUACGGACUGCAGGCCACAGCAGUUAUCCCGUUUUCCAGGGGUAACUCACCCACAGCUGCAGUGUACUUCGCCUCUUCAAAGUAAUCUGAAUUGGGAGACUAAACACAUUAUAGCUUUCUUGUGGUUGCAGGCAUUGGUGCCGACUUUGUGCGAAG